This 497-nucleotide ribosomal RNA is filed under the name uncultured bacterium. Its description in RNAcentral is "partial 16S ribosomal RNA". It matches the Rfam family "Bacterial small subunit ribosomal RNA", at positions 28 to 507 of the family's 1533-position model. The record is from RNAcentral.
GACGAACGCUGGCGGCGUGCCUAAUACAUGCAAGUUGAGCGAUGAAGAUUGGUGCUUGCCCCAAUUUGAAGAGCAGCGAACGGGUGAGUAACGCGUGGGGAAUCUGCCUUUGAGCGGGGGACAACAUUUGGAAACGAAUGCUAAUACCGCAUAAUAACUUUAAACAUAAGUUUUAAGUUUGAAAGAUGCAAUUGCAUCACUCAAAGAUGAUCCCGCGUUGUAUUAGCUAGUUGGUGAGGUAAAGGCUCACCAAGGCGAUGAUACAUAGCCGACCUGAGAGGGUGAUCAGCCACAUUGGGACUGAGACACGGCCCAAACUCCUACGGGAGGCAGCAGUAGGGAAUCUUCGGCAAUGGACGAAAGUCUGACCGAGCAACGCCGCGUGAGUGAAGAAGGUUUUCGGAUCGUAAAACUCUGUUGGUAGAGAAGAACGUUGGUGAGAGUGGAAAGCUCAUCAAGUGACGGUAACUACCCAGAAAGGGACGGCUAACUACGUG